Molecule: non-coding RNA, 19541 nt
Organism: Taeniopygia guttata (zebra finch)
Lineage: Eukaryota; Metazoa; Chordata; Aves; Passeriformes; Estrildidae
Source: RefSeq, a predicted model, not a curated record
GCCUAGAGAAGUCGAAAGAGACCUUGAAAAGCUAUUAGGGAAUAAAGGAGGUGCAGGGACUGUAUUUUAAGCACAAGUUCUAUAAGUAAGAGACUGGAAUUUUCUGAGAGUAUUUCAAUGUAUUUGUGCUGAGCCAAGCUCAGAUAUAGGAGCUUUUCAGGACCCUUCAACAGCAUUAGUAAUGUUGGAUAAUAUUCUACAUUUGCACGACAUUGCUGCAUGGUGCUUUGUGCCACUAAAAACUGCUUUUGUGUGCCUCACCAGUGUGUACCAAGUACAGCUCUGCAGUGUGGAUAUUUCCAGGUGGGUAUGGCUGCAUAUAUAUAUGGUCCAGUGAACACAAUCCAGUUUCAGACACAGAGGAAAAUGUUCUUUAUCCCAGAAAAAUCACAGGUAACAUGGGCCAGGUGUUUUCUGAGGGAUGUGGGCAGUCCCUGUCUGUGCUGUGAGACCAGGCAGUCCCAGCCCAGCUCCAGCUGGAAGCUGUAGCAUGGAGAGGUUGGCUGGACAAAACUGGAGGUGCAUCCAAGGUGCCCAGCAGAACUGCCUUCAGUGGUGGGAGCCUUGUGUGUUUGCACAGUACAUCCCCAAUUUAAGUCAAGUUAAAGAACUGAGAACCAUUCUGGCCACUAUAAUACAAACAGAAACAAAUUUUUCAAAUUUUGCAGAAUAAUGGAUUGAGAAUGUUGUCAUGCCUGCACUAUUACAGUUUUGAAUUUAUGAGGUUUUACUGCCCUUUUAUGGUAUUUCAUAUUUUUUAUAGUUAAAUCUAAAUAUGUAAUGCUAAUCAUACUUUAAAAUUCUUUUUCUCUUUUGGAGCAGUCAGUGUAGGCAUGGAGGAAUAAACUUCCCAUUCCUAGAUGACCCUUUGAAAGGAUUUUUAAAAUUAUAGCAAUUAUUACUUGAGUUUGACAAAAUCAAGAAGCAAUUAUUUUUUUAUUUGUGAGCAUAUAACAGAAAAAUAUAUUUGUGGAAUAGAGCUUGAUCUAUCUUCUGUGGAAGUAAGUGAAAAUAUUCCAGUUGAUUUCCAUACAUGAUUUUGCUGUGCAGCACAAAGCACUGGCAAAUUGAUUUAAGUGAGAAUGAAGUCAGUAUUAUCACAGUGAACAGAGCCUAAGGCACCAAUAGAAUUGGUGGCAUUUUUUUUUCCCGCAGCAAUUUAUAUCUGGGUUGAACCAGACUCAAGGUUUCUAGGCUUUUGACUUGUCUGCAGGCACAGCCAAGUUGGUUUUGAAGAUGCAGGCCUGAGCUCCUGCUAUGAAUGCUUAGAGCUCGUGCUUUGUUCUCCCUAAUUCCAUAUCAGAACCUGUUCAGUCCGAAGAGAGGCAGCAGUGAAAGGAUGCUGGCUCACUUCCAGUCCCCUCAUUAGCAUGAGCAGCACAGAUGGAUGUGAGCAUUCAUUAGCACCGAGUUCCCCGGGGAGCACAGAACUUAACAACCAUUUUAGCAGCUGUAUUGAGAACAAAAGCAUGACCCUGGUAAGAGCUUUAUGGUUAAUGUCCUCACUGUGGUUAUAAAUAAAAGCCUUCAUAAGCUGGUAAACAGUUAAGACAGACAUUUGACCUUAACUGUGGUUGGAUUACUGAAUUUGUUUUUCAUUUGAACCUUUGCUCUUGGCAAUGCCGUCAUGUUGUUCUGGUUUUGCAAGUGUUGUAGGUGUUUUAUUCUCUAGAUAGUAUUUCAAUUUUUACUUUAGCUUUUAAUAAAAAAUUGCAUCCCUGACCAUCAAAAAUAAAUUUUCAGGAUGUAUGCUAACAUGUGUUUUUCAGUCAUUAAUUUUACAUCUCAAGGGCAUUGGUAUUUAUCUAGAAAAGAUGGCAAAAAUGUUAGCAUUGAAUUUUACCCUUUUGAAAUAUAUUUUCAGUCCUUUCUUCACUAUUUUAUCUUGACACAUUGUAGUUACCGGGCAUAAUACACAGGCAAAACCAGCUUUUUGUUUAAUGUGUUUUACCUUAAAUCACAAAACAAAACCCAUGUAUUUUGGCUAGUUCAGGACAAUCUUACAUAAACAACAAAAGAUGCUGACUGCUAAAUGAAAAUUUUUACUCCUAGCCAAGAUAAAAACUGUACUUGGAAUUUACUUCAGGUUUCCAAAUAAAAUGGACAAAUUAGUCUUGGAACGUAAUGUAGAAUAUCUGCUUGUUCAGGCUGAUUGUGAUCCUUUCACACACUGAUGAAUUUACUCACUUUAAAAGCCAUCUAUUUGUUUAGACAUCAGACUCUCACAAAAAAUGUGUAGAAAAUAUCUUUGCUGACUUUGAUGUGAACUGGAGCAAGUUAUCUGGUUUAUGGCUUCCAAUCUUUGCCAUCUAGGACUCCCCGCCAUAUUUUUAACUAUUUAGAACCUCUGGAGUAUUUAUAUUGGAUUGGAGCAAUGCACAGCUAGGAUGACAUUUCAAUUCCAUAAAUGAAUUGCCUCUGUAUGUUUAGGCAUUAAAUGUGACUUAGAAUAGCUUUAGGAAACCAAAAGAUGAUUAAUGCAGCUGCCUUACAAAGUUAAGAAUGUUUUAGAAAUACACUCAAAGUAAUUGCUUAUUACUGCUAUUUAAAGCAUCAGAGAACUCCUUUAGAAAGAAUACUACAUUAUCAUGUGGAGGAAGGUUCAGUGUGUUCUUUAAUGUAUUUUCCAUCUUCAAGCUUUCUAGGUUUAAAUAGCAGUGAGAUUUUCUGAAAAGGCUGUGGGUUUGAUCAGCCAGUUUUUUGCACAUUCCAUGGGGAAUGGGAUAAUAGAAUUUAUCCCAUGAAGGUAAUAGUAAAAUUAAAAAGCAGUGUGUAAUUAUUAAUUUAGCAUAAUCUAAUGAAAAUCAGGGUAAUUGUUGAAUAUGAAGAAGCAGAAAAAGGCCUUGCCGUGUUUCUGCCUGCCAAUGUUAUUUUCCAGUUGAACAAUUUGAUUAAAAAAAAAAAUAUAUAUGGACAGAAAACUCCAAGUCUGUACUGUUCCUCUAUAACUCUAGGUUUUGUUCAGUUUCAACAGAAAAUGUUACCUGCAUAUUCAGAUUCUUGUAGAGGUUUGGCAGGAAGGAUUCUCAAAGAAUGCAUGGCCUCCAGCACUGAAGAAUUUACAGUCUCAUACAUAUCUUCUUCCUCCUCAGACAGCUCAGAGGAAAACUGUACAUCACUCUUGCCCUUCAUUGUCAAGUAUUCACCCUGGAUCGAAGAAGAGAUAUACAGAUAAUACAAAUAAAUUUAAGUUCAAGAUUGAUUUCAGCUUGGAAAUAUAUGAUUGCCAUAACCAGACAUUUUGGUGCAUGGGAAAUUUUCUGAUGAAAACUGAAGGGUUGGAAAGUAGUUGAGGAAGUGGUUUGAGUGCCUUAAUUUUAAAUUGAAAUUCAUGAAAUAGCCAUUUGGGAGACAGUUUAAAUGUCUCUCUGAAUUUUGCCUCUCUGCUCUUGAAAAUAUAAUGAAAGUGUUUAAUUUAUGAUCAUUGCACACAUUGAAACGGUAUCUUUUAUUAUAAUAUUAUCCAUGUGGUAUUUGUAUUGUACUGACUGUUUACAUAUGUCACUUGCAAGAAUAUAUUAGCUAGCUCAUCACAAAUGUCAUGCUUCAAAAUAAAAACAUACGGUGUUUGGGGGAAUUUGUGCUGACAAAUGUGCAGUCCAAGUGAUUGUGAUAGUGAGUAUGUAUUGAACGGUGGAGUCCAUGGAAAUAUGGUGCUGAGAGUGACUCAGGAUGUCUCUGGAUGUGUCUUUACACUUGUAGAGGUUUGUUCAAGGUUGUGUUCUAGAGUGCUGCUCCACCCUUCAUCUUCACCAUUUGCUCACUGAAACACAACUGCAGUCUUCCUCCAGCACAGAGCCAAUAUUGCUGCUGAGGAAACUCGACUGAGGAUACCCCAUGCCUCUAGAAGUCAUAUUUUGUUACCAACAGUGUAGGUGCACCCGUGCACUUGGGUCUUCUGUGAUGUUUUGUCUAUUCUCAAAUUUAUUUUGUUCUCAAAUUUAUUCCCUGAUGUUUGUUUUAUUCUCAUUACUAAUGGGGAAUCAAUAGCUUCCUGACGUAUCUUCUUCUGCCAGUUAACUGCCCUUUCUGUUAAUGCUUUUUCUCUUGAGUGCUAAAAUUGAAUCCAGUUUGUUUUACUGUCCAAGGACACUAAACAAAUUGAUAACUAUCUACUUUAUUUCAAACUUUAUAUGCUAAUGCCUAUAAUUAUAUUUAUUUAUUUAUUUAUUCUUCUAAGAAACAAAUAUGCCUUAUUAAAUCUUUCCUAGAUUUUCAACCAACUGAAAAGACUUUGAAUCUCAUAUCCCCAGUGUUACUUUCCUGUGAGCACACUCCAGCUUGUACACCUCUUUGUUACAACACGAGGCAGACCUCCAAGAAGUGUUCUUUACAGUACAUUGCAGGGUGAGAUUUGUCUUUAUGACAGUACAUAAAAAAGUCACCACAGCCUAGACAGACGCUGCAGGGUACCUGGGUUUUCAGGCUCUUCUCUGCACCACUCUUUCCAGUUCAAUAGCAAUACUGUCAGCUAGGCUGAGAGUGGCUAUUUUUUCAAUCAAUUGUGCAAGCAUUUUCACCUAGUUGAAAUAAUUUUCAUCUAACCAGGUAUGUGUUUAUGAGACUGUCUUCUGGGGAAUAUCAGAGGCCUAAUAAAAAGCAAUAUACAACAUAUUUACUGUUUUCCUUCUCAUUAUUGUAGUAAUAUUUCUGCUGAAAAGGAAAUUACUUUUAGUUUGAGUAAUUGAUGAGAUGUUCUUCAUGUCACAUUAACAAUUCUUUACAUAAUCAGACUUAUUAUUUCCAAAAGAUGCUUGUUAUAAUAUUUGUUUAAUAAUCUCUCCAGGUACCAAAUAAAUCCUCAGGAUUUGCUUUCUUUCUUGGAAGAAAAUGUGGUUACAACUAUUAUUUUCCAUAAUUUUAGAAACUCAGGACUCUGGAGAAUUCCCAAAGUGAAUAAAGAUCUCAGAAAUUUCUUAAAUAAUUACUUAAGUGUCUUAGCAUAAGUAAAUAAUUUCCUGACCAUUCUUUCCCCAUUCUGCUCUGUUAUGUGUUUGCCUUUUAUUUGGUAUUAAUCCCAUAUAGGAACUGAUUGUUAUUAAUCAUUCUGUGAAAUCUGAAGCUGUCCAAGUAUUGAUUGCAUCAAAUUUGUUAAGUCAUCCUUCAUUUGUCCAGCUUGUUUGCUAAAACAUAGACCUGUGCUUUAUUUUCAUCUUUUUGUGAUUUAAAAGGUAUUUACACUUUUUUUAGAUGCCUGAACUGAAACUCAAACCCAGAUUUCAAAUACAAAUGGAAAGACACUGAAAUAUGUUGUUUGCUUUUCAGCUUUCAUUUGUAUUGCUUGCCUAUUUAAUCUUGAGGUUUAUGACUUAUAUCCUUGUUUAGCUUGACUCCUGUUAUUUUUACUUGAUCUUAUGAUAAAGGUGUAUUUUAGAUUCAGCCCAUAAAUGGAGAAUUGGUGAGUGAGUCACUUCUCCAGUCUAGAUCCCACUAAAAAAAGAGAAAAUGUUCUCAUCUAUAUUUCACAAUUCUUAUGCCUUAUUUUGCAUUAAAAACCAGUGAUGAUUGCAUUUAUGUUAGUAUUAUAGCUGAGAUGAUAUUAACAUACAUCAGGAAGUGAAAAAAAGGUAAAAUUUUAGGAAGAACAUAUGGUACUUACAGAAUGAGAGGUGUUAGCAGGAAUAGUUCUCUUUUCUGUAUGAAAUGGAGAAAAGCUGUCAGCAGGUCCCAUUCUAUUGUGAAUUAUACAGUAGCUAGUAACGUAUAUAAAGGCAUAAAAGUCUGCCAACCGCAGAUUUGAGAGUAUUUAUUUACAGUAUUUUAGAGAGAUGGAAAAAAGGACAUGAAGCAGGUCCACCCAGGAGUUUGUGGAUCUACACAACGCAUGAGGAAGUAGCCAUGUGGAAGUGGGACUCACAGUCAUGGGCGUGUCUAAGCCCGCCCACCAAAAACACCCAAAGAAGGAUGUGCUAGAGCUCCCCUUUCUCUCCUGAGUUUUGCUUCUUGGUGCAGAACUUUGAUAUCUGUGGGACUCCUGGUCUGGAAAUCCCUCUGUGAGUAGAAACGUGUUUUGUUCUCUCCGUAGCAGAAGAAAAUCCCAAAUCUGAGAACAGUCCAGCUAUCAGGCUGUUCUCGGUGGUCUUUGUCUGCCCGUGAAGCUGUUCCACGGUACAGCCAGGAGAGCAUGAGCUACAGGGUCAAAGAGCUGGUGAGCAGAGACUCCCAACUUCUGCACUUAACCUGAUUUACACGUUUAACCCAGUGACUUUUUAAUGCAAAACAGCCAUGGUACGGCCUUGCCCAGUAUGUGCUCUCAUUCUGGACUGUUUCAAUCCUUUCUUAGGCUGCCUUUAACCUCACAAAUCUUGCAUCUUUGGCUGGCUACAUAAUGGCCUGAUUUCAAAAGUAGAGCAUGAAAGUCCUUCUCUCAAGACCAACAAAUAAGAAAUAAUUACCGUGUGUAGUAAUGCUUAGAAGACUACUUUUCCAGGGGUUGUACCCCAUGACUGAAGGGUGUUAAGGACAGCCAGCAUCCCACAACCCUCCCUUACAGCUGUGUUUCGGAAGAAGCAAGUUUCUGUAUGAACACCCUCUUUGCAUUUGUAACUCUCAUCCUGUGAGCCUGGUAUUGCAUAUUUUUAUGUACUCCAGCAGAUGGCAUUGAAUGUUCAUUUAUUCAAUAUAUGUAGUACUUUCAUCUCUACUGGGAGGAUCAUUCCUGGGUGACAGGGGAGGAGUUCAUGCAAGCUACUUGUCUGAUUUUCUGUUUACUUUUACGGUUGCUAAUCAAAGUUAGCCCUGUUAAAGGUUGUACCACGAUAAUACUAAAAGAGGCAAUGACUUAAUUUGUAGAUUUUGUACUUCUGCUCAUAAAAAGAAUGUGGUUGAUUUAUCCUCAACAAAAAAAAAGAGAGUAAUGGUGAUAAACAUCAAUGCUAUUGCCCCUGCAUUUAGUGGCUUAAUGCUAAAAGGGGACUGUUUAUCACAAGCCUUUGGGGUGAUGUACUGCUAUCCAAUAUCAGUUUACAAUUUGAUGUCCAGGUAAGUUUAUCAUCUCUUCUGGUAUGCAUGACUCACUGGAGUUGGGAUGAACUCCAUCUGCCUUCUUUCUUCUCAGGCCUUCUUGGCACUGGACCAGGACCAGUGAAGGGAGCAGCACUGGUGCUGCUUUUCCAUGGGUCUGCCCUCUACAUAAGGUAACUGCCCAAAUAUUUGCUCUGUGCUAGCUGAGGAGUACAAACCAGUGAGAAACCACUCUUCCUGUUAUUUAAGAAUAUAAUUUUCAUAAUGACGAUAGUAGCUGCAAUCAGCUGGACCUUCUGGCAUAAUUUUUUUCACUGCAAGCUAAAGAUUUAAAACUGGCACAGGCUAGAGUCUCCUCAAGCUAUAGGGACUCGUCAUGUUUUAUUCAGUCUGAAAAUUUUUCAUUGCUUUGCUGCACUGCCUGUGAAAUUGAUAAAUAGAGACUAUCAGUUAUAUUAAUAGUAAGGUGUUAUAUUUCUGUGGCAUACAUGUGGGUGUGUUUCUGCCAGUUAAAGGACAAAAUGGAAAAAAUUAUCUUCUCUUUAAUUUGCAGUGGAAUAAAACUGUGUGUAUAUUUUGCGGCAACCUUGACUUUUCAUGGUGACCUAAAAAAAUUUUGUUUAAAAGGGUGACAGGUUAGGAAUUUCUACACAAAACCCAACAUUAAAAACAUAGCCCUUUAAUUGGGAAAACAGAAGGUAAAUCUGUUCCCAUUGGCUUCUCUGAAUCUAUGAAUGCACAGUGGUCUUUUUAGUCACUGUGGUGUUUCAGCCAGUGGCAGAAAGUGAUAAAGAAUUGUGGGUUGUGAUUUAAUAAACCCUGUGAUCCUCUAAGGGUGUGUCCUAAGCACUUCAGUAGAAAAAGCCCUGAAGCUGGAAAUGCUGCAAGGAAGAGCUCUGUAGACAUUUUCACAGUCACUUUUUUUACUGUCUUGCCCAAAAUUAUGGUGCAAAACCUUGUCCUGUUCAGGUAUACAGGCAUCUUCUUAAAGCAUAUAGAGGGGCUAGGCAAACAAGCUUCCUGAAUAAUAUAGUUUUAGUUGGAGUACCAAGUAAAAGAUUAGGCAGGUUUCACUUCAGAAACAUGAAAAAGGCAUGUGAAUAAAUAUCGAUUUUGGUAGGCAUUUGGGCUAAGGCCAGCUAUCCACAACAAUAAAAGAUUUGCAGUUAGAUGAUAGAUUGCUGGAUUUUAUUUUUCCCAGAACUGCUUUUUCCAGCCCUAAAUUAAAAUCUUCUAUAUUAUAUGGAUAUUGAAUGCAUUUAAGCAAACUUCACAUAACACUAUAAACAUAUGGUACAUCAAAUAAAUUUAUCUGGCUAGUUGUGCCUCUUUUUAGUUAGAUAAUUUUAUAUACUUGGCAUUAAAGGUCUCAGCUCAGCUACAGUUGUGAACUGCAGUUUCAUUUACAAGGAACUGAAGUAAAUGCAGUGAUUUACUUUUGAAAUUAAUGUAUUUUAAACACAUGCUUGUUACUGACCAUAAUCUGCCAUGGAAACAAAUUUAGAGAUCCUAAGUCAUUGUUUUCUUGUUUUUGGAACAGCAAACAGCAAAAAAGAGGAGAGCCCUUCAAAGGUAGCAGCAGAUGGAAAAAGAAAGUUCCCUCAGUUGCUUUCUAGAAGCCAUCAGCCAAGCUAAUAUUUUCAAUCUACAUCUAAAGAAUAACUUAUUUCUGGCUUUUUGCCAUGUAUACCAUCAUGAAACCAAAUAUUUUUUUUGGGCACAGUGGAAGUAAAUACCUUUUUGUUGUCUGCCUUAGUGGAUAUCCCUUUAGUGGGUAUCCAUUAAUUUUAAUUUUUCUACUAAUUCAUUUUCAUUUUUAUGAUGUUAAAAUAUUCAGAUCUAUCACAGACUUUUACUGUCUCUGAAUAAGAAGUAGGCUACAUAGACAUGCUACCAUACUUCCUUUUUCAGUAGUGAAAGAAUGUUACCUUUCAGAUGAAUAUUUGGAUUCAUUACUUCAUGUAUGUUUGGGCAAGAUCUAAAUACAGAAAAAAAGAAAAAAAUCCACUUAAUUAAAUUUUAGAAAUUUCCAUUGUUCUGUGAAACUUCUCAAAGAGUCCAGUUUAAAUUAAUGAGUGAAAGCUGCAAGGAUAAUAAGUGAUUUGAGAAAUGACUUUGCAGAUUUGGAAAUUCAACAAUCUUGGGUCAAACCUUACGUUUUUGUUCACUUACAGCUACAAGUUUUUUGCAGAGAGCUCUAGUAAUUUUUCAAACAUUCAUUUUAGACAUAAAUAUUGCAACAGCCUUAUUGUUGUUUUACAUAUUCAGUUUAUUAUUGGAGGGAUGAAUUUCCUUAGAGAGAUAGGAGCUAAAACUCUCUUUCCACAUGCAGCUGUGCCACUCCACAUGGCUCCCUUCCCAUUCUGCCAAAUUAGUAUAACACUUUCCCUAGACCUGAUGUGGUAUUCUUCCAUCCUGCCAUUCCUCUGCCAUGGAGAAUAUAUGAGAUAUAUUGGGUGUGGAAGAACCACAUAAGCCUUACUCUGGUGUUGGUUCUCUCACCAUGACCCUCUUUACCCACUGGACUGUAGCUCUGUGUCAGCCUGUCCAGCAACAUUUGUGGAUCAUUGCAGUAGCAGUACUUAGUAUUCAGAAGCAACAUCAAAAGCUAUUUUGCAAUGAAGAUUUGACCAGGGAUCACAUUAAGACUGCAUUAAUGCAUACUCAUUUUAUCUAUAUCUAAGCAUCCACCCUUGGAAUUGCCUAAAGUUUGGGAAAUACCACCACAAAUCUCAGAGUUUCAACUAGCUCACUCUUAGAAUUACAAAAUAAUUUAGAUUAGCAGCAGCUUUUGAGCACAGGGUGAAGCUGAGUGCUUUCUUGUUCAGGGAGCAAGCUGUAUACCACACAAGAGUGUACUAGAGUAGUGUGUGAUAAUAGCAUGGACACAUCAAUAAUAAAACUUUUAUUUAUAUCACUUAUCAGUGAUUUAAAAAAUAAUUUAUUUACUUACUUAUUUUUUGGCAAAGCUGUUUUCCUGCUGUUUGAAUCUGCUGGAUGAUAUUCUACUAUUUUUCUGUUGGCUCUGACAGAAUUGAACAAAGUUUACUGUUAGCAACAAUAAGUGGGGAAGAAAUGCAAGUGCCAGCAGAGCUCCAAAACUAAGUUUCAAAACUUUUCAAUGCACAUAUGCAAGUUAUUACCUUCUUCUCUACCUCAAACAUUUUUGUUCUCUGAAUAUUUUCCUGAUUUUUUUUUUUUUUUUUUUUUCCAGCUCUUUGGAAAAAAGAGCAACAAUUUCCUGCAGAGGGAAUGAAAGGCUGGAAACUGAAUUCCUGCAUCCACUGUUUUGGUUACAUUAGAAUAGGGUACUUUUGGAACUCCACUGAAUAGGAAUUAAAACACAGAAGCACACAUCCAAGAUCUCUGUUGUUGGUGAAAUAGUUGCUAAACACCAGUGGUGUAGAUACCAAAACAACAGAAUUCAGUUCUCUUGGCCUCUCUACUUCUGACUUGGUCCUCUCUUAGAAGAAAGAACUCCUUAUUUUACUCAGGUGAAAUAAUAUUGAUUUAUAAAUCCUUGAAAUGAAAACUGAGAUGAUUUCUAAUUUUACCUUUUGACUACUGGACAUUUCAGUGUUUUCAGCAAAAGGAGUUAGGAUUAUCUCACAGAUAAUUCCUACAAGUGAAAAGGUGGUCAUGUCCUUUUGGACCUACCCAAACCCAUUUAAGUUGAUAGAUCCUAUAAUCAGUGUUGGCAAAUCUGGUUUCAGUUUUUCUUUACAAACAUGCUUCAAAACCUAUUUGAAACAAACAACCAAACAACCAAACAACCAAACAAAAACCACCCACACAUACACAAUUUAGUCAAUAUUUAAAUGCACACAUCGCUAAUGAUUUUUUCUGUCAUGUUAGACAGUUUAUUAUGGAAAUACUAAAGGGCAUAAAUGCAAAGAUGCAAAUUUUAGAAGAAAUGCAAGAUAUGUUUAUUUUCAGCUGUGGAUUUAGCAGGAGAGGUAUGCUUGAGUAGUUGCUAUAGCUAUAGAGGAUUUUGGAUAAGUGGUUAAAUCUGUACUGCAGUGAUAUGUUUCUGGAGCAUAUGGAAUAUGAACAGGUAACUGAUUUCUGUCAUCUUAAUGCUCUUUAUAAUUUAAUGUAUAAUUUUUUGUCUUUUAAAAGAACAGUUUCAUACCUUGCAAAACUCUUGCUCCAGCUCCCCCAAGGCAGUCUGUAUUACAAAUGCAAAAGGCUGUUGCAUGAGCAUUAUACGUACAGUGAACAUAAUUUUUGUGUGUUUGAAUUUACUUCAUUCCUCCCUGCCCCUUCCUGUGGCAAAUUUCCCAACACGACCUUCUGCAGAUUGUCCUUUGCCUGCAGCAAGGAAUUGCUUUAGUCUCUUUGGUAGUUUUUGUCUCCAUGUGAGAUGCAGCACUGAGGUUUUACUGGUAUCUCUGUGAGUCCAUCAGAACUACAUACACAUUACUGGUGACUAGUAGCAUAAAUGGCUCAGGAUUUAUCAGAAACUUAUCAUGGCUGAGGCCAUGGGGACACUUAGGACCUUCUGAAUGUUCUAUGUUAAUAAAAUCCUUACUUUGCAUAAAAAGUAUUUUUCAGCACUUUUGCUUUAAAAUGUUGGAGUGCUAUUUGUUUAAAUGCCCAUAUUUAAUUAUAGGGACAAAGCAUCUUUUCUUCACAGAAUUUUCCUCAUUCUCUGGUCAACACUAUAGCAACAUUGUUUCCUCCUGCAAAAAUGUGGGGCUUUCUUUAAUGCAGUUUAGGACACUUUCACCUCUUUUUACUUAAACAAAAUGCAGAAUUAAAUUUAGCUGGGUAUGUUCUGUAAGUUUUUCCAUUUAUGAUACUCAUACCAGGCUGACCAGAUACAAAAUCCUAAGCUGUGUAUUUGUGAUCGGGCAGACUGGUAGCACAGACAGAGCAGCAACUCCUCUCACGAUUCAAGUUACAUUAUGUAUGGCCAGAAGUUGUACUGGGGAGAAAAAGUGAGGAUAGACUUCAUUUUAGGCAAUGAUUGACUCAUAUUUAAAUGCAGAUCAAUUUUAAUGGAGCACCUACAGAAAUAGAAAUUACAUUUACAUUAAAGUCGACUGAAUUAAUCUUGAUUGUUCUGUUGCAAUGUUAUGAUUAAUUUAUGAUGAAUUGGCUGUAUAAAAGUGUCUGUUUUAAAGAUCUUAUAAUUUCCAAGAACCAUGAAAUUAUUAGGUAAAUUUUAAGAUACUCCAUUUGAAAGUUUAUUUAUUUCACAGCAUAUAAGGGGAUUGUUACCAGAGUAAAUUUUAUGUGUUUGGAAUAAAAGUUGGCUAAGUACAGAUAAUUAAAAGAGACAAAAGUCCAUUUUCCCUUAUUUUGACUGUCUUUUUUUUUCUUCUGUUUCAACAGUGAAACAACAAGAAGAAAAGUAGUGAUCAUAUCUACUAGCUCUUCUCUGACUGCAAUACUUUGCAUGUAAUGCUGAAAUAUUGCCUGAUGUUUUGUUCAAUCAGUUUCUACUUUGCAAAGGCUCUGCUGUAUUCAUGUCAAAUCCUUCUUCAUGACAGACUGUAAAUUGCCUAAUCUGGCUCAAAAUACCCAGAAUUGCUUAAACAUCAUUUUAGUUAUUUGGUUUUAUUGUUACUUAUAUUUACAGUUAUUUGCAUAUUAAUUUGGUGUUGCAGAUAUGUUUGAGAGCUCCUGUCAUGGAACAAUCUUCCUGUGACAGAUGAGUCACAAUUGUAAAAUUAGUCCCUGUCCAAAGGAUGCAUAAACCAAGGGAAAACAGGUGGAUGCAACUGAAAAAUGGAGAUAAAACAAGAAGCUGAAGGUAAAAUGAGUUUUUCUAGAAGGAAAGGAAUAAAACAUGGAGCAUGCAUCUCUGUGCUCCAUGAAUGUAGACAUCUAAAGAGGGUCAGUCCCCAGUUUGAAAAACAGGCACCUCUCAGGUCUGUGGAGAGAGAAAACCUCAUUUGUAUUUCAUAUUUGCAUUUUGAUUACUCCUAUUGAAAGAGGUCAGUAUUAUAUUUUAUCAGCUACUUAAUACAACAAAAGGAUCAUAAUAUUUAGCACUCUGAUUAUAUCAAUCCAUGGCUUAAUGCUAUUUUCUAAAUAAAUUGUUGCCAGGGUGGCUAUUAAAGGAUGCUCUCAUUCAGAAACCAUCCUGUUUCCUGAAACAGCUACCAAAGGUGGAAUGUGCACCACACAUGUCAGUGUGAUUGGACUUUGGGGCACUUGGCAAUCACAAGGUCCUUCAGUUACAUGGUGGUUUGAAAGUGCAUUGUACAGCUCAUUUUGUCUUCUGGUCACAUCUAUGUCUGGAGGUACUUUUACUUAAUAGCAGGGUUUGGGUUGGGAGGAGGUUUAGACACCUCUGCUGCAGACUGGAUUAAGCAAAACUGCAGUCAGGAGGGAAGAAGUAACUGAAGUAGUUUAAGUCUAACAACAGUUAACAUAGUCAAGAGCUUCUAAGGAAGUGCACAGAAGAGAGUUCACUUGUGAAAAUGAUACCUGCAAGUCAGAGGGAUUAGGAACCUGGCUUGAUUGGGCUAGGUCACUCUCGAAGACAAGCUUGGAUUUCAAAGUUGGCUGAACACGGGUGUGCCUUUCUGUUUUGGAUGCCUGGUAUAUUCUGCCUGGCCUGAGAUGCUGCUCAAGAGGGCAUUAGUUCUUUUUCAGAUCUUGGCUUGAACUUCUUUGGCUGGUGCCUGUGAGUUUAGACACCUCAAAGCAGGGUCUGAAAUUUUAGCUUGAUGAGCAGGGAGCUGCCUCGAGCUAGCAAAGAGCAGCUGCCUGAAAUGAGUCUUGGUGGCUGCUCAGGCUGCAGAGGAGGUCCAGCCAGUGCUGCAGUACACAGCUGGGAGCAUUGGGAAGACACUUUCCUCUGAUGAAAAGUGAGGGAUAGCUAUCCACCAUUCUUUGUAUGAAAUAAUCUAAUAUUCAGAGAAGGUGUUCAGCUUUGUACUUUGUACUGUGACCAUAACUGUGUCUUGCUUAGAUAAUUGUUCUGCACUGAAAAGAAAAGAGGUGCAGGAACCCAGUGUGAGCUCCUGUGCCCCAGCUGGGCACCUUCACCCCUUGGAUCUUCCCUUACAGUUGGCUUAUGUGCUGAAGAAGGAGGGGAUGUUUCUGCACAGUGCCUGGGCAGGUGACGAAAGCUUCUCACCAGAAUACCCUGCACCCUGUGGAUGCUAUUCACAAAGAGAAAUUGGAUCUCCCAAAGGUGGGCCCAAAUGUUCCUGUUCCUGAACGCUGUAACUACAUGCAGAAGGACAACAUGAGAGUAUUGGAGAGGCACAGUUACCUCCCUAGGUAUGUCAGAUAUUUUUGCUGCAAAGGCUCUGGUUGGGAUGGAGUUAAUUGUGCUGAGAGCAGUCUGUUGGGUGCUGGGCUGUGGAUCUGUGACCAGAGCAGUGCUGACAACAGACUGUGUUUUGGCUGUUGUUGGCAGUGCUUGCACAGCACCAAGGCUUUCCCUUUUUCCUGUUCUGCCCUCCCAGUGAGAAGGCUGGGGGUGGGCAGAGGCUGAAGUGGACAAAGCUGUCACAGCUGACCCCAGCUAACCCUAAGGAUAUCCCACACUGCACAGCAUGUGCUCAGCAAAACAAAAAACAAAGCCAAAAAAUCCCAAACCCAAGUGAGGUUUUUUUUUUUUUUUUUAGGAAAACAGCCACUGCUCAGUGAUUGCCAUCACACCACUUGUUUUGUUUCAGGGUUUUUUCUUUUUCUUUUUCUUUCCUUCACUUACUAAACUGUGACUAUCACAACCCACAAGUUUCCUUAUUUGCUUUCCAUCUUUUCGUGCCAGGGGUAGCCUGCUGCAGACACAGCAGCAGGUAGGAAUUUCAGGAAAGGAGGGGAGAGCCAUUUGACCUUUCAGCUGAUCACAGGGGGCUCAGGCUCACAGUUUUGACACUGACAUAUAAAUAUCAUCCAGGUCCAAGGCAAAGGCAUGACCACUUUUAUCCACUUUUAUAUAAUCCCAACUACUGCCUAAAAUGGCGCUUUUUUGUUCUUUUAAUUUUUAAAGGUCAGCUUUAUGAAUCAGUAAUAAGAUCAUCCAUGGCAACAUUGUACUCACUAUUGUGACUUAUAAUAAAUACUCCAUAAAACAUGUGCUCUUCUGAUUACUACACUUAAACUACUAUAGUCCUCCAAGUGUGCCACGUUGGAGAAUACUUGUUCUGUUCCUUUUACCUAAAAUAAAUGCUAGGAACAUAAUACCAAAUAUUAAAGGGUCUAUUGUGUUAGCAAAAUUAUGUAACUGACCACUUGCAAAACUAAUUAAAAUUUAUGAUUGGCACAAUUAAUUUGGAUUCUUUUCUUCCUAAAAGAGUGCUCUAGGUUUCCCAGGCAACCUGUAAAAUGCUAUGUGUAAAUAUAGAAAGCAAUCCACAUGCUAUCAGUUCAGAUAACCCCACAGAAACAGAAGCAUUUUGAACAGCAAUUAACUAUUGUACUGGUUAAAUUCAGAUUUUAGAAAUGUCAAACAGAAACAAGACACUGUAGUGCCAAACUGCAGUAACAAGCUGCAAAGUGGCAACUCCUUGCAAGAAUCAUAAUCACUUGGAUUGAAAGGGACCUUAAGGAUUAUCUAGUUCCAUCCAACCUGCUCUGGGCAGGGACAGCUUCCCCUAGACCAGGAUACCCAGGACCAAUCAACCUGACCUUGAACACUUCCAGGAUUGGGCAUUCACAAAUACUUAAUGCAUUUCAGUGCCUCACUACACUCACACUAAAAAAUUUCUUUCUAAUAUUGAAUCUAAGCUUGCUGUCUUCAGUUUGCAGCCAUUUCCCCUCAUGCCCUUGUGAAGGAGUCUCUCUCCAUUUUCCUUGUAGGCUCCCAUCAGGUACUGGACAGCUGCACUGAGGCCACCCCAAAGCCUUCUCUUCUCCAGGCUGAACAAUCCCAAUCCUCUCAGCCUUUCCUUAUGGGAGAGGUGCUCCAUCCCUCUGAUCAUCCUGGUGGCCUCCCCUGGGCUUGCUCCAGCAGGUCAAUGUCCUUCCUGUGCUGGGGACUCCAGAACUGGCUGCAGAACUCCCACAUACAAAAUUGUCGAAGAUAUUGAGACUAGCUUUAUCAGGGAAUCAAGUUCCUGGUGAAUGUUAUGAAUGCCACUUCUCUAGUGCUGGUUAGUGUAAGUAUUCAGGCUGACAGAAUACACUUGUUUCUUUUCGUGUUACAGUAUUGUCUCAUGUGGAAAUGUUGUAAUGAAUCCUAGCCAGGUGACUUUUCACUGGAUGAGAGGAAGGGAGAACAAAUGGUAAGCCACUGUAGCUGAAGUAAAGGUUGACACUCUGCUAAGGUAUGUUUCAAGCCCAAAGCUUGCAAUUUUCAGGAGGGGAAAAUAUUUCACUCAGUCUCAAUUCAAAUACUGACAGAGACUUCUCCUUUUAAGCCAUUGCCCUUCUGAAACUGAUAUUUGGUCUUUCUGGUUGUCCAUGACACCAAGCCUUGCAAAGAAAUGCCAGGAAAAUAUUCAGUGUUUGGCAUGGUUUUCUUCCCACAACUUUUGUACUGAGUCAGAUCAAACAUAUUCACACAGCAUACACACAGGAGUAGUAUGGGUCAUUUCAAGCCAAAUGCUGCAAUAUAAUCUGAACCAACUGGCAAAUCUGAACCACAAUAAUUAUCAUAAAACUGAUGAUUAUUGGGGAGGUAUGUAAUGAAAACUUUGCCUCUGAAUAAAGUGGUAAGAACAAUGAUCCUGCCCCCUCCUUGCAUAACCCUUCCUGUGUGUUUCCCUAAUGGUAUGCAUUGCACAAGGCAGUAUCAUUGCUUAAUAAUAUAUAUAAUUGCUUGAGCAUAGCAUCUCUCACCUCAAGUCCAUACAUUUGAGACCAACCUGCUUUUAAAGAAUCCCCAGCAUAUUGGAAGGGACUCAUAAGAAUGAUCCAGUUAAACUUCUGGACCACAGCACAACCCAAAUUUAAUCAGGUUCCUAUAGGUUGGUAUUGCAUACAAUUAGAGAUGUUAUACAAGAAAGGUCUUGUAAAAUCAGGCCUUGCUCUGCUAAAUUACCAGCUGGUCUGUUACUUCUUCUAAGUGCAGCUAGCUAACAAUCCAUGUGAAAAAAACAUAAAAAUGAAAGAAGUUAAUACAACAAGCUGUUAUGGAAAGAAAACUGUUUGCACCUGUAAUAAACAAGAAAUCUAUUCCAUGGGAAUCAGUGAACAAAAUAUGUAAACUAACCAAAUAUAGAGAGAUUUGACAGUUGUACACCCUGGCCAUUUACCAGCCAAUGAACUGAGUGUCAAUGCAUGGUUAUCCAGUUAGGUCUAUCAGUGCCUAUUGAUAUUUCCUAUAAAUAAGAGCUUUGUGAAUAAAGAAGGGGAUUUUUCUGCAAGAAGAAACUGAGUCUCAUCUGCUUUAUUGCAAGAGUCUGAACUACUGGUAAGUUGCCAGGCAGUGAUUGGCGGGCUGAAGAGAUGUUGUCAGGCAAGACAGGGGCUGUGGGUACCUGAAGGGUAACCACAGAUAUUUGGCACUUGGAAGAAUACUGCUGGGAUGCCUGGCUACCUGUAAUUACCAUUCAUACCACUCUUCUUGCUUAUGCCAAGCAUUUUCUUAUCUAAAAUAACAGCUCUGCCAUGGCACAGUAUAGAGCAGAGAGAUUAGGCAAACAGUGGAUUGAAAUAGAAAUGCUUAUUAAGAAUGAAUAAAAAUUGUCUCUCAGUAAGUUUUGCUAAACUCACCAAAAAUCAUGUAUUUUAUGAGAAAAUUAGUAAGACUACAAAAGAACCAAAUCUAUCAUGUGGACAGGGUUUUCACAUUUUCCAGUCUAAGCAGGUAAAUACUAAACUGAGUGGACAUGACUGAGGGAAUUCUUUAUGCAUGUAAAGUGGUUUAUAAUAACAUAAUAACAGUAAAAAAGAUGGUUUUGAAGAACUGGUGGUUUGUGACCAUAGAAAUGGAAGUCACUGAAUUAAAAUGCUUCAUUUGAAUUUGUUCCUGGGAUGAUAUUAACACUUUGUAGAGGCUUAGGGUUGCAUCACUAUGACUACACUAAUUUUUGCAUUCCCUGGCUUCUGUGCAAACCUUUGAGAUAUUUCACCUCUAAAUCAUAGAGGAUUUCUUCUGGAAUGAAAAGCAAAGGUGUGAAUGGGCAACAAAUGUGCUUUAAUUUUCAUGAAGAUCCUUGUAAAAACAACGGUCUCAGAAGACACAAAAUUUGAAAACAUGCCAUCUAAAGAUAAUUCUACCUACAGUGUAUGUCUUUCUGAAUCUUCAUAUAUAUUCUAAAAAUUAUUUUCUCCUUUUUCCUUCUCAUAAGCAGCAUAGUUUUCAGAUUUUUUCUGUGUUGGUACCUACCAAGUUAUUUUUACUCCUAAAGUUUGUACAGCAGAAUAUAUCACUGAUCUCUGUCCCUGCAUCUUGUAAUGAAGAGUGCAAAUCCCUAUUCACCUGGGGAAGUCAGAGGGGAAAAAUAUUUGACUUCUUAAAUCUCUCACUAGUCCUUGAAAUCCUGCCAGACAUUUUGCUUCAUGUGAAAAUGGAAGUUAAAGACAUCUAGUUGUCAACUACUUCCACUCAGCUAGGGAAUACCAAGGAUUCCCAGCCUCAGUAGUCAGAGGAGUUUAUUAUCUCCCUCUUCCAUGGAUAAGCAACAUCCUGGGAGCAAACAAGAAGUCAGGCAGAUGAUCUCGUGUCUCGGAGGAUGGGUGCCAGAGAACCUCAGGGGUGCUGUCAGUGCAUGCACAGCUCUUUCUGGCACAUAACAGAGGCCAGAGUCUGGCAAUCUGCCCCACAGCCCCAGGCAAAUGUCCUGUUUCAGCAGAUAUUUGACUUAAGAGCUAAGUGCCUGCAUCAAAACUCCCUCCUCAUUCCCGUUAUGUUGAUGGUUUGCUGCUUCUCUACCACAGUAAAUCAUAAAACAACCUGAGCCUACCUACUGCAUAUGACAGGCAAGUAACAAGGUAGAACUUGAAGAAAAUGCCAUUUCUGUUCUUCCUUGCUACCUGCUGUCAGGAAGGAGCUAGCAGGUAAGCAGCUUUUAAUUUGAUUUCACUUUCUUUGAGUCAAGGUGGACUAAUCUGCAUAUAAAUGUAAUAAUGUAAGUCCUUGAUCCCUCCCUCACAGACACAGAACACAGACUAAAAUAUGACUGUUAUUAUCCGGGGAGAAUAAAAUUACCCUGCCCAAGGUUGGAGAGAAAUAUAUAUCUAGUGAAAAGAGCAGGGUACAGUGAAGCACUCCACAGCUACUGGCCUCUAAACCUAUAUCCACAUCCUUAGUAUCUGUGAAUCCAACAGUGUCAUACUGUAUUUACAGGUUGCCAAUGAAAUCCAGUUUAUGGGAGGAUAAAAGUGAUUGCUCCAAGUGUUAUAAAAGGAAUGGCUUCCAUGCUGUAUUAGAGGAAAAGAGACACUGGCAUUUCCUAAACACAAAUUUCUUCAGGGAGAACAACAAACCAUAAACCAGUGGUUUCUUCAGGGGAUUUCUGACUGGAAAACUGUAUUUAUUAAUUAUAUGUAAAUUUCAUAAUGUUUUGAUGUCUUGAUUUAGCAAUCUGUAGAACUUGCACUGAAAAUCAAAUGUAAGAAAUGCUUAAUUUGGGAGAAAGUGAAGAGACUUUGUGGAAUAGAUUAUAUUUAAUUAUUUAAACAUUCACAUCACUCAGAUUGGGGUCUUAAAAUAUAAAUUACAUGGC